This 12802-nucleotide long non-coding RNA is filed under the name Gallus gallus (chicken). The record is from RNAcentral. Lineage: Eukaryota; Metazoa; Chordata; Aves; Galliformes; Phasianidae.
UACUACUUUCACGCUCCUCAGUGUAAACUGUCUGCAGUCCCCACGCUCUCCAAAAUCAAUCUCGGAGAGCAAGGCAGUGUUUUGCUGAGAUUAAGCAGAUUUGCAAAUUAGGAAGAUUAAAUGGAAAUGUAAUGAAAUGAAAAUUAAAUGUCCUUCUAUUUUUUUAUUAUUAUUUUUUAUUUUUAUUAUUUUUUUGAGAGAGACAGAGACAGAGACAGAGAGGAAGGAAGGAAAAAAAAAGGAAAAAUCGCCCUUUCCUGGGAGGUGUCUUUUGAGUGAUCCCCCAAAACGCCUUUCCCGGAGCAGCUCCCUGUCAAACUACACGCGCUCCCGUCCGGAGGGACUGAAAAGUGAUUCAAACUCUCCGGGAAGCACAGACAUUUUUAAUUCCAUCUGAUGCAGCAGCUCGGAAAGCAGCGAGAUCAGCCACCGGGGCUGCAAAGGAGGCUCUCUGCCUCCUCAAAUCCCCCAAAAGCAGAGCGGUUUUACUCAUCAAGGAAACAGCCGAGAAAAAGAAGGAUCGGAGGCACUCACCAGAGCGUAGACCGAGCUCAGCACGGAGCAGCAGAGGAUCAAACCCAGGCUGUGAUAAACCAGAUAUGAUCCCAUAUCCAAGGGGCUCCUUCCAGCAUCCACGCUCUCUCGGGGAAGUUGGAGGACGGAGAGGUCUUCCAGCGCUCCGCUUGCAGAUGAUUUCUCCUUCCCUCCCUCCAACCUCCCCCCCCCUCCACCUCACUCUCCAGAACCGGUGUUUGUUUGUUUGUCUGUUUGUUUGUUUGUUUGUUUUAGCCGGAAAGGCACAUGACGAGAAAGCCCGGUCCUUUGCUUCGCUUUCUCAUGGCUGGAGAUGCGGGCAGCUCCCGAAAGGCAGCGGAGGAGCCCAUGCGAAGAAGCGGAGCGACUUCGGCUUCGCUCAGCGCCGCAGCCCCCGGUGCUGGUUGUUUUCCGCGUGCAUCUGUCUCAGAGCAGAAAAAUCACAUCCAUAUGUCAAAGCCGCGCUCUUCUGUUUCCUUUUUAUGAGGCAGUGGGAAGUUCAAAUAAUUUCUUUGUCAAACGCAAACACACAGAAAGAGGCUUUAAACCACGGCUUUAUUUUUAGAUCCAGUAAUUUUAUCUUUUGGGUUUCGGAGGGGUUUGGAAAGAAAGAGAGAGAGGGAAAAAAAAAAAAAAAAGCCUUUUUUUUUCUUUUAAUUCUUUUUCUCCACUUUCGCCACACGAACGGCUCUCAGAGCAGAAAGUUACGGGGAAAAAAAAUAGCGAAAACUUGGAGAUAUUUUCCCUCCUCAUUUACUUUUUCUUCGCAAACAGCGGUGCUUUUGGGGGGGACCUUUUCCUCCUUUUUUUUUUUUUUUUUUUCCUUGCUGGUGUAUCGCCGCGCGUUUCGCCUCCACAAUAGGUUUAUUCUCCAGCCCUCCGGGUCGAAGUGUGUUUCAGUUACAAAUCGGGAUUUUUUCGCUCCUCUCUCCCCUCUCUGCCUCAGAGGAUCUGCAGUUUCAAAAAGCCGAUUGAACACGGCGUGAAAGCGUGAGGCUGACGACUCCCCCGCCUCCUACCGCCACUCUCUCUAGUCCUCGUUCCGUGCCCCGCAAGGAGGAGCCCCCCGCGGAACCCCUGGCGCAUCGCAUCCCCGCUUUCCCCCCCUCAUGUCCCCAGCACCUCGCACCCCUCGUGGAUGUCACCAGCAUCGCAGUUUCAAGGCUGGGGAUGGUGCUCCCAGCUCAGCCGGGCGCUUUCAUUCAUAAAAUGGCAAGAUUGUAUCCAUGAAUGUGUGUAUAAUGAACCCAGAAGGAAUGCAGCACUAAAAGAAGCCUUUGUAAUGUUGCUAUUUUAAGGAGACCCUUGGGUAUGGCACGUGUUGAACUGAGUUUCUCCAACAUCUUACAACAAACCAAAAUGUUUAGAUCCUCCUACUGAUGUAAGACAGCAUAAAAAAAAUACAUAAUCAAUCUAAACUGGCUAAGGUUUUGACCAGGAAUUAUUGCUCCUGUGAAUUGGCUCUGUAUUGUAGCUAACUUUUACACAGCCUAAUAAUAAACAUCUCCUCCUCCCAGCUGGGUGAAUGUUUCCCCUCUGCUGGAGAUCAGGUCCCAGUCUGGAUAAAACACCUCUUGUCCUUUCUCUCCUCGGUCACUCAGGUUCAGUGAAACAUCAUGACUUACAUCAGCCAAAGCCUUUGAUCAGGGAGGGAAAGGUCUGACAUGGAUGGGGUUGGCAGCCACGCUGCAAGAAUCCCUCAUUGUGCAAGAAGCCAGUCCAAUGACCGACUGUCACCAAGGGUGAGACAGCCUUUUCUGCUCUGUUUGCUCUGUUUUCACUUGGCUAUUGCUGGCGUUUUGUUUGCAAAAUCAAGGCCAAAAUAUACAAGAAGCAGCUUCGAACAUGUUGGGUUUGUGCAUUAAGCCAGAUAGCCAUCAUGAAUUUCUGGCCAUUUUUGUUGUAUGUGUUGUAAAGAGCAGAAUUUUGCUGUCAGCAUUUUGUUUUCACAUGGUCAGAGAGGAGAAGGAGUAUAAUAGAGGUCCAAUUGACACUGUUUACACAAAGAUGAAGUCGUAACUCUUGGCUGAGAUGACUGUGGAAGUGGUGUGUGAUGGCUUCUUUGUUGGCUCUUUAAGAAAACAUCUGCUCUGGAUCUCGUGGACAAAAUCUAGGGUGAAAAAUUCUCUCAUUGCAAAAUGAGAAGCCGGAUGAAAAGCCCAGAGAAGCUGUGGGUGCUCCAUCUCUGGAGGUGCUCAAGGCCAGGUUGGAUGGGGCCCUGGGCUGCCUGAUCUGGAAGGUGGUAAUCCUGCCCAUGGCCCCGGGUUGGGGCUGGAUGACCUUUGAGGAUGUUUCCAGCCUAGGCCGUUCUAUGAUUCUAUGAGUUUCUCCAAUAGCAUCCAGCACUCAAGGAACAGGGCUGCUUUGGAAAUGUAUGUCAGAAUAAGAAAAAUACAUUUUUUGUACUCACACAUUGAACAGCGAAUGAAUGCUCAAGAAGAAUGAGGGUGAGAAUUGAAUCCAUUAAAACACUUUCUGGGACAAUAUUUUUGCUUUCAGCAGCUUUCUCUUCUGCUUUGCUUCAAUUCCUUCUAAACUCUGCUCCCCUUCCUCCAGGUGGUAUGAAAUAAAAAACAGUAAUAAAUAGAUUUUUCUAUAUAGGAAAAAAAUCAAAAACAAAUAAAAAUAUAUUUUUAAAAAUUUAGAUUUCUCUGUAAAGACUCUUCAUUAAGUACACAGAAAUGCUUGUGAUAUGUGGCCAUAGAUGGGCUGUACGCCUCUUCUAAUGCCCUGCAGUAUGGUUUACAAGGUGACUCAGUAACUGGGGCGAAGUCAUCGUGGUGGGUUUGGGUGCCCUACAUGAGAAGACGCAGAAAAUGUGUCAGAAAAAGGAUCACAGACCUGAAAAUGGUUUGGGAGAAGAGAGAGAUGAGGCGUGUGGAGUUGAGGUCUUGGGUUAAGGCAACAAAGGAGUGUUGGAGGUGACAGAUGAACCCAAAGGCAUUUUGCAUCUUAAGCAGGCCAGAUGGGUUAGCAAAGUCACCAGUAGAACACAAUUGUCAGUGGCUCCAUACAGUGACCUUUAGCUGAAACAAAGCUAUACAAAAGGAGCUCAGGGCAUGCAAGUAGGUGAAGGAAAAUCCUCAUCAGCAAUAGGCUUGGCAUCCAUUUGGUUGUGUUUUCAUGCAGACAAGGUGGGGCAGACAGGCUCUACACAGCAACACGUGCUCUUGCCUUAUCCCAUCUCUGUUGUUCUCCUUGCUGUAGGCUGAUGCUUUGGACCCAGAAAGACACAAGUGGGAUGGAGAUCAGAGCCCUGGGCUUUUCCCCGCAGACCAGCAACUGGUGCCAUUUCUGGCUGAUUCUCUACUUUUCUCUUCCUAGUGAGGGUCUUUUGUUAUUUAUCAGCUCCUUUCAAAGCAACAGCCUGAGAGAUUUCACAAUACUUUUCACAUAUGGUUACUCAGCCUGGGGCUCUCCACAGCUUAGCUGUUUCAGUGAUAUUUGCACAGCACUGAGCAACAGCAUUCCUGACCUGCAGGAGAAGUGAGUGCCUCAAACCUCCUUUUCUCCAUAUACACAAGAUCUUUUUUUGCUCUUAAAAAACCCCAGACCCCUCUCCCCAUCCCUGCCAGUUGCACGGCAGACUGGAUGUCCCUGGCAGCACACUUGGGCUUGCAUCCAUUUUUCUUCUUUGUGUGUGUGUGCGUUGUCAUCCAAUGCAUGGCCAGAACCAAAGGAAAACUCAUGUGUGUGUUGUCAUCCAAUGCAUGGCCAGAACCAAAGGCAAACUCCAUUUGGGAGGUGAGCAAGGAAAACCCCUCCAAAACAGCCAGGAGCUGAAAAGAUUUGGCAAGCUUUGCAGGAGAAAACUGCCAGCAGGGAAAGACGAGGUGGAGGCAUUACUCUGACAGAAGAAGCUCUGAUUAGCAGAUUAUCACUUAAGUGAUGUUGAUCCCAGCCACGCUGCCUUCCAAAUGAGCCCUUUCACAGCUGCCAGCUGCACCACGGAGUCGUGAAUGUAAAUGAGUGGGCCAGAUCCUCUGCUGGCAUCCAUCGACGUGGCUUUGAUGGACCAUCCUGGAUCUACAACAGCCGGAGGAGUGUGGCUGUCGUGGGAGCCUGACUUGCUAUGCAGAUUUCUUUGAGAGCCUGUGGGAAAGGGCCUGAAGCUGGAUGUACUGCAGGAUAGGGCAGCAUCAACUGCACAGCUGGAGGGACCCUUGAGACUUUGACUUUUGCUGCCAAACAAAGCCAUCUUUUUGCUGAGCUUGUAAACUGUUCCCUGGUACCGUACGCCAGCAUAUAGCAUCCUGCCCUCAUAAAGCUCUACUUAUCUCCAUCCAACUUCUUGGGCUGAGCGUGUGGGAAGCAUGUGAGGGACACUCAUGAGCAGCCUUGCAUUCUCCGAGCUGUGCUUUCCCCUGGGGAAGGCAUACUUGACCUCUGGCCACGUCCAUCCAAUCUGACAGACUGGUCUUCGGAGAAUGGUGACCAAGAAUAAGCUCCAUGUCCCACAUGCCACCUGUUCAUCUGCACCGCUCCCUCUCCAGCAGCUCAUGGGCCAUGCCCAGCCUAUGUGUGACACCUCUCUGGCUGCUCAGAUGGAAAGUAAGAGCUUGGAGAGUGAGGACAGCAUGGAGUUAUGGAAGACAUGGCUACAAGAGCAUUCUUUCUCCAUCUCCAUGUGCUUCUGAAGGACCAGUCUGAUUCUGGCUCCUGCCAAGUUAGGAUAUGCUAUGAUUCUGUGAACACUUUUUGCAGCAAGUCAGCCAUAAGAAACAACAUACUCUCAGACAAUCAAGCCUCCAAAUUAAGGUGGGGAGACUUGUUGUGAAGGAGAUGGUUUUUUUUUUCCUACUGUAGAAGGGAUGUUCAAUGCUAUAGUGACAAGGAACAAUUCUUCAGCCUUAGACAGCAGAAAGAAGAAACAUAAAGAGACUGUACAGUUCUUGGGACACCGAGACAACUAUCUACGUGCUUUGUGGAAGCAGAGACAAGUAUGAGAUUUGGCUUUCUGGGCUAUGAGGGCACACAGCUGGCUCACAUCCAGCUCCCAUCCACCAUUUAGAUAAGAUACUAUUGCUUUUAAUAAAGACAAGUCAAAGAUCUUCUCCUAAGUGCUCUUAAAGAACUCCAGCAUUGUGUCUACAAUAAUCCAUCCGCCUUAAAGGAUCCAGCAGUACAUCACCACCAGUGGAUAUAAGAAGUAAUUAGUCAUCAUUUAGGGAAGUAAGAUUUAACAGUUAUUUUGUUGGCAGAAGUGCCGUGAUAAAAAUGGUACUCUGAAAGUUAUUUGGUAUUUCUCAUUGUUGCCAGAGUUCUGAACAUUUUGAUAGGAUGAACAUAGACUUCGGUAGGAAAGUUGUGGAUUUUUUCCCCUCCAUUUAGUAGAAAUAUAAAUGUUACAAAAUAAAUAAUGAUAGAAUAUAUGUGUAUAUAUUUUCAAUGCAUAUUUUAAAAUGCAUAUGAAAUGCAUUUUUUAAAAUAUUUUGUUCAAAUAUUUUUACUAAUGUUGUAUACCUUGCAUCUGUGAAGAGGGUUAUCCCUUAAACAUCCUUUCUUCAGACAGUACUGGGAUUCAUCCUCAGGCCCCGUUAUCUUGCUCUACGUUUCCUAGAGUCCAUCUAUAUAAUAAAUCAGAAUACUGCAUGGUUACACAUCGUAAUUAUUUUUUAAAAUUAUUUUUUAUUUUUUUGCUGAUUGGGGAAAUGGUGAAAACUGGUUUUUGCAUAUUUCAACAAUGUUACUCAGCCAAGUAAAAGAACAAGGGAGCAGAAUGGAAGAGAAAUGAAGAAAUGGAAGGAAGGAAGGAAGGAAGGAAGGAAGGAAGGAAGGAAGGAAGGAAGGAAGGAAGGAGGGAAGGAGGGAAGGAGGGAAGGAAGGAGGGAAGGAAGAAGGGAAGGAAGGAAGAAGGGAAAGGAGGGAGGAAGGAAGGAAAUACAUCAAUCUUUGGAACACAUUUUUUGUUGUUUGUUUGUUAGUUUUUUAAAGGGUUUUGGGCAUUUUCAGUUUCGGAACAUUUUCCAUCUUCUCUAUUAAAACUCAUUUCUUAGUGCUAUUUCAGCAGAAGCGAGUGUUGAAUCAAAUUUCUUUUCGUAGUAAAUUUUCCAAAUCAAGGAUCCUUGCUCUUCAGUAUUGGUGUAGUCACAGACAAUGAAUUUCUAUCUUUCAGUAUGAGAUCUUUGAACUGAAACAUUUCUCACAGAGAUGUCUUUGGCAUUGUCUUCUUCUGGUCUAUUUCUCAGUGUGAAGGACUGUGAAAAGAAUAAAGUCAUAUAUUGUGUUUGAGGGAUCAGACUCUUAUUGUUAGGACUGAGCACGUUGGGGACUAGUGGGUAUUCUUUCUUUACCCUUAUCUCCACUUUUCUCUGUGUGAUACUGGCUGGGAGAUUCUCAGUGGGUGGAACUUUAUCCUCUGCUGCCUAGGGGCAAAGUAAUAUUUUGGAUGCUCGGAAUAAAAAGUACUUAAAUAAAUGUGUUAGGGACAGUUGAAGUAGUGUCGUUCUUAAUUUAAGUCAGGGGGAGAUCAGACGACGUCUCGAGGUCCCUUUUGUAUCUACUUCUACUACAAUUCAAUGAUCCUUCAGUGAUGCUGGAUCACAGGCAGGGAACCUUAUCUGUGACCAAUUGUACCAACUGACUUGUUCCUUCGAGUGCCAGAUUAGAUCUUACAGUGAAAUUUAAUUAAAAAGGAUUCAGUUCAACCGAAGUAUCAGGAGAAAUUUCCAUAGCGGUCUCAUCCUGUCUCCAUAGGAUUUUUCACUUCAUUGACUUCUUUCUUGUUUUGUUUCUUUACAGCAGUGGGGAAAUGAUCUUUUUUUCCUUGUCCAAGAACUUGAGCAAGUCGUUACGUUUCCCAGUUUUGCUUUACUGAAGUGAGAGCUACUCAGUGUUCUUAGUUUUCUUCAGCACCUCUGUUGUGUCAGGGUGUUCUGCAGAUGACAUUCUGCUGUGUUUAUAAGGAUCUAUGGAAGAGCCUGGAUGCCCAGAUCUGGCCACAGGCUGACCCAGUCCCAGAAAUAUAGAUCACAGAAUCCCAGAUGGGGCCUGAUCUGGAUGUAGUGAUCUAAGCAGUGAAAUAUCACUUGCUUUCACUUUUUCAGGAUGUGAUUAAUUUGUUUAUCAGAAUGGGUGGAAGAGCUGAAGUAGAAACUGAAACAAGCUGCAGGUGUCACAGGAAACAAGCCUUACUGAGCCAAGAAGUUAAAUCUUAUCUCCUAAUAAAUGGAAAUGAAUCAAUGUUCAUUAAUUCCAGAGGAGCUAAGGAAAGAACAAUCUGUGUGCCUUGCUCUGCCAGAAGCCUUGGGACAAACGGAACCCCUGGCCAUCUGGGUCUAUAGAGAGACAAAUGGUUUUGUAGAAGCAUGGUAAAUAUGGGAACUGGCCACAACAGAUUUGUGCAGUUGCAGUUAAAUAUUGCUUUCUGUCACCUCUAAAUCAAAUUUUGUCUCUCCUUGUCUAGAACAGGCCUUGUUUUCUUAUCCUAAAUGAUAACCGUGCACAGUAGGAGUGGGAUUUAGUAUCCAAAAGGUAGGCAUUUCCUGAUUUGUGAGAUACUUUGUGCCACACAGCAAAUCCAUGUGGAGCUGGAAGACUGGAAACUGGGUUUAGGGGGGACUCCUGCCAGUCUGGAGAGGAUCCCAGGAAGACCCUUUGAGGCAUUGCAGUGGUAGUGAUCUGUAUUCCAACUGAAUCCUUCUGGUCCUGCAGUGAGACGGCAGGUGUUCGUAGCAGAAAGGUCUAGAUGGUCAGACCUAGGGAAGAAGUCAGUACUGCAUCCCAUUAUUAUAAGCAUGAAGUCAUAGAAAAGAACUGUAUUGUAUUGGCAGCGCACUCUUAUUGUCUGAGCUCAGGCCAUUUGAGGCAACAAAGAAAGAAAAACAAAAAACGCUGCACAUCGUUGGAGAAGGAGCACUGCCAAAGCACAGGGUCCCCAGAGAUCAUGGCAGAAAGAGAGACCCAAAGCAACAUCUUCCAUGUGGCUUGAUUCAAUGGGUAGCAUUAAAUGAAAGGGAUGCAUUUCAUCAGUCUCCUGUUGAUGUCAAUCCCGCGUGUUGAGAUGAAAUGUAGACUUUUCUAAACUGAAAUGUUUCCCUCCAGGAACGUUUAAAUAUUUUGACUUUGUUCCAGUUUGAGAGGAAAACAAAUGCCAAAAUAUCAGUGUCUCCCUGUGCAAGAGCAAUGUCACUGCCCCAUGUGCUGUGCAGUUGCAUUUGUUGCUCUGUUCAUUGCACCUAAUGUCUUUUUCAUUGGAAAGCUUUAUUUGGAGAUGUUUGGGGUUGGUUCUGAAGACUGCAACAAGGCCGAGCAUACUUCUGUGAGCUUUCUUUGCUUUUUUUCUUUGUUUUCCAAGUAACGUGAUAAAUUGAAUCAUGUAUAGAUUCCACAUGCAUGUGCCUAGACUUUACUUGCAAAUGAGCAUGAAUUUGCAUGCAGUCAUGCACAUGUAGUGGCAAGAAGAUAAUGAAGACAAACGGAAUCGUUUUUAUGCCAAAUAGUGGCAGUUGAGAAAAUGGAAUGGAAUUCUAAUGACAUCAUGCCAGAAACGUAGAGAGAAAAUACCUAAAAAGAGAAAAGGGAGAAAUGAUUACUGUGCACCUAACUCCCAGAGGGAAGCAAAUCUUUAUCUGAGUGGUAGGAUACUUUCUGGAGUACCAUAAAUAACAUAAUAAUUGUCCAACAUAAUAGCAAAAUUCAUCUUCUGAAUUUCAGCCUGAACUGAAGAUACACUUCUAGGGUAUCUUAGGUGCUUAUCUUUGGGUGGGGUUGAAAGUCAGGGCUGUCUUCUUUAACCAAUGUCUCUAUAAGGAGUAUAGAGGAUUACUUUAAAGUAGAGAACUUAAUUUCAGAUGGCUAAAGUUAGCUGAAAUUGAUCUCAUUUUUCUGUCCAUCCCCUGCUGCUGCUCAGGCUCCAGUUGAAGACAUUCUAUACUCAUUAACUCCAAGAGUUUCUAGUGAGCUAAUAAAGGAAGGAAUUUACGAUUUCAGAAAAGGAUAAACAUCAAAAUCCCUGCUCUCAACAAAUAGCCUUGAAAAAAACAGAGGGUGAUAUGCUACAUAGACAGAGGUCUUGAAAUAGAAAGUUGGUUCAACAUUUCUGUGAGAUGUCAGCAAUUUUUAACUGAGCUUUGCCUGGAGAUAUUCAACUAGUUGGAACUAAUCCAUUUCCAGAAGAGGUGAAUCAGUGUCUAGCAAUUCACUAAGCCAGUUGCCCAAGUGCUCGCUGCUGAAAAUCUGUGCCGGUUGCUAAAAAUCUGCAUUUCAUUGCCUUCGUGAGGGUAGAGUCCACCGGCAUGCACAAAUGCAUCCAAGGAGGCAGCCACAAGGUCUUGUUUGAACUGGUGGGGAUGGGAACUGCAUGUGUCAGGCAGAACAUCUCAGGCCAGACCGUAAACCUUUGCGGGUGUGAGACGAGUGGGUGAGGGGUGGGGAAGGAAAAGUGCUGUGUGCACUAGGGGACGGUUUUGUCACUGAGUAUAAAUUGGCCCUAAGUACUUUGCAGCUGCAGUGAAAAAAUUGGUCUCUGCCCAUCCAAGGGGACUGGAAAUGAACCUUCAGGUAUAAUAGGGGCUGACACUUUGACAGUUACUUGAAUACGGAGCAGCAUACAUUUGCUUAAAUGUUCUGUAACAACUUCUCGUGAAAUAAAUGGGGCUGGAUUAAAUGGUCAAUAAGCCUCUUUUGCAUUGGCUUUCUUUAUAGUAAGACAGCAGAGAUUUGACAUCAACCUACUGAUUGAGUCUGGCAACAAUUUAAUCAGGUCUUUGCUUGUAGAAUGGAAUAAUGCCUUUCUCUUCCUAGGACACAAAGGAAAGCCAAGAAAUUAAGCCUCUUGUUUAGGAUUUGAAUGACAUUAAAAUACAAACUUAAGAAAACUCCUUUCUGUGAGAAUUCCUGUAGCACAGUAACUGUAGAUGGGAUUCAACUUGCAUAUAAAGAUAGCUAAAAUUAGAGAUGAGAUUCAGCCAGAUGUUCAGUCACCCAAAAGUGGAGGUAUAGGAAUAUGUAGGAGUCAACUGCAAGUGAGAAGACACUACACGGGCCAUUCUCUUACAACAGCCAUAGCGUUCCUGAAGGUGGAAAAGAAGACAUCAUGUUCAUUAACAGCAUUAAAGGUAAAAAUGAGAGUAGUCCUUUUGGUCCUACACAGUGCUACUUAAACACAAAGAUUAAGUGAUACCACCUAAGGUUACAGAUCUGGAAGUUAGAUGUCCAGUCAAAUUGAGAGUCCAAGGAAGGAGGCACGCAUUUCCAGAAGGUGACUUGGUGAGGUGCCAUCCUUUGAGGAAACCUUUGACCAGGUCCUCUUUGCAAUCUGCAAAGAGGAAAAUCCUAUAUUUUAGACAACUAAUGUUUGUUCAGUUAAUCCCAUGUGUCUGUUUGCAUGAAUUCUGUCUUUUUUUAAGCCAGCCUUUUUUAAUUCACUCUAUCUUUUAGCCCAGUUUCUUAAAGCAACACCAUUAAAAAACAAACAAGCAAACAAAACCCCACUCUUCUACAGUAUUUGUGCUGAAGAUCCCAGCUUUAUGACUAUUUUGUGCUUUGCUACUCAGUGAUCUAACACAAGGAAAUUAUCCACCCUUGGCAAAGCUGAGGCUGCUGUGUGACAGUGGUCAGUUACACCUUCACUUUCUCAUGACUCAUCUAAGGAGGGUUUCUAGUCUUGGGGAGUCUGAAUGGAUUAUGGUUCUAGAAUACCCAGUAUAAUGCUUCUCUAUAGCCUACCAGAAAGGAGCACCUAGGUGACUCAUUACUGUAAGAGGAAAUGCACUGGCAAGAUUGACAAAAGUAUGCAUGCUAUCAUCAUGUCACUCAUAACAUGCUCUUCAAACAAACAAAUUCAUCUCCUCCUGCUGCUGUAUGACUUUAGAAGAAACUCCAUGACUACUAAUUUUCCAGGGAUGGACUACUUUAUGACAAGGGCGUUGAUCUGAAUUCAGGAAAUGCUCGAGAUUCAUCACUGAAUGUCAUAAUUGGAUUGACUAUUGGUUACCCAAAGUAGCUGUGCCCUUGCCUGGGGUCCAGCAGGCUGGGUUAAUGCAUUGGCUGUAUCACUGGCUCCUUGAUCUUAGGCUUCACUGCAUUUGUGACACACCUGUUUUAUAGGGUCUUACAGCCUUCUUUUGUAGUACAAGGAAAUAGGCAAAGUUAAAUUUAAUCAUUUAAAGAUUGUAAUCUGGUCUAAACUAAUUGUGUAGGUGUUGUUGUUGUACCAGGGAUUAGCUCAUCAUAGAGACCCUACCCUAGCCUUCUCUCUGGAGAAGCUGAUCUCUCAUCAUGGACUCUAGAGGGAGCCUGGAUGACUGCUUCAGAGCAGAUUUGCAAUUUCUAGAUAGCUAAAAUGAGGUGAUACACACCCUGGCAGGGCUAUUUUCUACCUAAGAGUUCUCAUUACAUUUUUCUAUCUCAGCAAAAUGCAACAUUGACUCUUGGAAGCUGUGUAGUUCCAGUUGUGUUUUACUUAUGCUCUGGUGAGAAGGUACAAGGAAACUGCAGGUAUCAGAAGUGAAACUCAAAGAUAAUGGGGACCUUUAUACACUGAUGAACAAUUCCUGUGGCUGUCACUUUGCUGAUGAAUAGAAAAAAAAUGACAGAAGCACUGGUAAAUAUUGGUGUUUUGCAGUACUAAGGGAAAAUUCAAGAAAAAUCUGUAUCUUUAGUUCUGUUCUUCCUCAUCAUAAUAAUUAACUCUACUACAGUUAUUUUACAGCAGUACACUUAUUUAAUUGUAUUACAGAUCUGUUUGGACCCUGUCCUUGUCUACUUGCUUGUCAGGACUCUCAGACGUUGUCUCAGUAACUUUUGAACCUGUUGCUCAAUUUUAAAUGAAUUUAACAGCUGGACAAAAGUUCUGUAAAUACAAAAAUACUGCAAGUUUUGUGAAAAAAUGUUGCUGUGUGAAGAGGAAAAAUUCCAGAAAAGAACCAUCCGCAUGCGAUACGCUGCAGGGUGAAACCCUCACUGAAGAAGCAGUAAGGAUGGAGCUGCAGGAGACAAAACUCUGUAAGCUCUGCUGUUCAUGGAACUGCUUUUCUUUGCAAUUCUCUUCUGUUUAAAGAAGGAACUGCUUCUCUACCUUUGUCCCAAAUCUAAAUAAAAUUCUUUUAUUCUGUAGGAUCUGUACGCUGUGGUCAUGCAAUUGCAUUAUGGUCUGAUGAGUUUGGGAAGACAAAGCCUAAUUUAGAACCGUAUUAUAAAAAGAAAAGUAGAAAACCCUCAAAGUCCCAGUCCUAUGGUAAAAUUUGCUUAAAUGCAUCUUUGGUAUUUUUUUUAGUGGUCACCUACUUUUGCAAUGUUGAUUUCAGCAACGUAAGGUCACCCAGAG